UUUCCGUAGGUGAACCUGCGGAAGGAUCAUUAUUGAAUAUUCUUGAUGGGUUGUAGCUGGCUCUUCGGGGCAUGUGCACGCUUGUCUUGACUCUAUUCAUCCACCUGUGCACCUUUUGUAGUCUUGGGGGUUGAGAUCAGUCGACUAUCGGAUGGCGAUAGCCUUUCCGGACGUGGGGAUUGCUGAGUGCGAAAGCAUAAGCUCUUCUCAAAUGACUUGCAAAACCUCUCCCUCGAGUACUAUGUAUUCAUAUACCACAUAGUAUGUCGUAGAAUGUGAUCAAUGGGCCUACGUGCCUAUAAUAAUCAUAUACAACUUUCAGCAACGGAUCUCUUGGCUCUC
RNAcentral lists this unclassified non-coding RNA (342 nucleotides) under plant metagenome. RNAcentral describes it as "partial contains small subunit ribosomal RNA, internal transcribed spacer 1, and 5.8S ribosomal RNA". The record is from RNAcentral.